RNAcentral lists this ribosomal RNA (334 nucleotides) under uncultured eukaryote. Its description in RNAcentral is "partial 18S ribosomal RNA". It matches the Rfam family "Eukaryotic small subunit ribosomal RNA", at positions 1470 to 1796 of the family's 1831-position model. The record is from RNAcentral.
CCCUUAGAUGUCCGGGGCCGCACGCGCGCUACACUGAAGGAAUCAGCGUGGCUUUCUCCCUGACCCGAAAGGGUUGGGAAACCCGUUGAAUCUCCUUCGUGAUAGGGAUUGGGGCUUGAAAUUGUUCCCCAUGAACGAGGAAUUCCCAGUAAGCGCGAGUCAUAAGCUCGCGUUGAUUACGUCCCUGCCCUUUGUACACACCGCCCGUCGCUACUACCGAUUGAACGGUUUAGUGAGGGCCUCGGACUGGUCUCGGCCCGCUCUUUACCGGGCGGCGCCGUUGGUCGAGAAGACGCUCGAACUUGAUCGAUUAGAGGAAGUAAAAGUCGUAACA